RNAcentral lists this unclassified non-coding RNA (367 nucleotides) under Hevea brasiliensis (rubber tree). Lineage: Eukaryota; Viridiplantae; Streptophyta; Magnoliopsida; Malpighiales; Euphorbiaceae. The record is from RNAcentral.
AAAAGAAAAAGAUAAAGGAUAGUCAAACCAAAAUACUUGUCUGCCAUAUUUUUCCGAUAUUAGUAUAUAUAGGCUUGGUCUCCUUUUGAAGAGGAUCUCUGAUUGCCGAUGUUUUGGUCUAAGGGUUUGUGGCUGUUUAUUAUGGAGAAGGGUUCAUUCAUUCAAUUCAUUGAUGUUGAUAUAGCGCGUAUAUACCCAAAGUAUUAAGACAGGCUUGAAUUUUUAGUCCAGGAAGUUGGCAUGUUUACUUGCUCUAUAGUUGGUGAAAAUUUGCAAUUUGAUAUUGUCUGCCCUAAAAGUCGUGGAAUUUUAACCAUGAAUCGCACCCUCCUCCAACCUCCAUGCAACACACGCACACAAAGAAAGA